CAAGUCGAACGGUGAAGCAGAGCUUGCUCUGUGGAUCAGUGGCGAACGGGUGAGUAACACGUGAGCAAUCUGCCCCUGACUCUGGGAUAAGCGCUGGAAACGGCGUCUAAUACCGGAUACGAGACGUGAAGGCAUCUUCAACGUCUGGAAAGAACUUCGGUCAGGGAUGAGCUCGCGGCCUAUCAGCUAGUUGGUGAGGUAAUGGCUCACCAAGGCGUCGACGGGUAGCCGGCCUGAGAGGGUGACCGGCCACACUGGGACUGAGACACGGCCCAGACUCCUACGGGAGGCAGCAGUGGGGAAUAUUGCACAAUGGGCGCAAGCCUGAUGCAGCAACGCCGCGUGAGGGACGACGGCCUUCGGGUUGUAAACCUCUUUUAGCAAGGAAGAAGCGAAAGUGACGGUACUUGCAGAAAAAGCGCCGGCUAACUACGUGCCAGCAGCCGCGGUAAUACGUAGGGCGCAAGCGUUAUCCGGAAUUAUUGGGCGUAAAGAGCUCGUAGGCGGUUUGUCGCGUCUGCUGUGAAAACUGGAGGCUCAACCUCCAGCCUGCAGUGGGUACGGGCAGACUAGAGUGCGGUAGGGGAGAUUGGAAUUCCUGGUGUAGCGGUGGAAUGCGCAGAUAUCAGGAGGAACACCGAUGGCGAAGGCAGAUCUCUGGGCCGUAACUGACGCUGAGGAGCGAAAGGGUGGGGAGCAAACA
RNAcentral lists this ribosomal RNA (703 nucleotides) under Microbacterium sp. Its description in RNAcentral is "bacterial SSU rRNA". It matches the Rfam family "Bacterial small subunit ribosomal RNA", at positions 58 to 774 of the family's 1533-position model. Lineage: Bacteria; Bacillati; Actinomycetota; Actinomycetes; Micrococcales; Microbacteriaceae. The record is from RNAcentral.